RNAcentral lists this ribosomal RNA (452 nucleotides) under uncultured bacterium. Its description in RNAcentral is "partial 16S ribosomal RNA". It matches the Rfam family "Bacterial small subunit ribosomal RNA", at positions 28 to 507 of the family's 1533-position model. The record is from RNAcentral.
GAUGAACGCUGGUGGCGUGCCUAACACAUGCAAGUCGAGCGAUUCUCUUCGGAGAAGAGCGGCGGACGGGUGCGUAACGCGUGGGUAACCUGCCCUGUACACACGGAUAACAUACCGAAAGGUAUGCUAAUACGAGAUAACAUGCUUUUAUCGCAUGGUAGAAGUAUCAAAGCUUUUGCGGUACAGGAUGGACCCGCGUCUGAUUAGCUAGUUGGUGAGGUAACGGCUCACCAAGGCGACGAUCAGUAGCCGACCUGAGAGGGUGAUCGGCCACAUUGGAACUGAGACACGGUCCAAACUCCUACGAGAAGCAGCAGUGGGGAAUAUUGCACAAUGGGCGAAAGCCUGAUGCAGCAACGCCGCGUGAGCGAUGAAGGCCUUCGGGUCGUAAAGCUCUGUCCUCAAGGAAGAUAAUGACGGUACUUGAGGAGGAAGCCCCGGCUAACUACGUG